This 253-nucleotide ribosomal RNA is filed under the name uncultured bacterium. Its description in RNAcentral is "partial 16S ribosomal RNA". It matches the Rfam family "Bacterial small subunit ribosomal RNA", at positions 524 to 776 of the family's 1533-position model. The record is from RNAcentral.
UACGGAGGGUGCAAGCGUUAUCCGGAUUCACUGGGUUUAAAGGGUGCGUAGGCGGGCAGGUAAGUCAGUGGUGAAAUCCUAGAGCUUAACUCUAGAACUGCCGUUGAUACUAUCUGUCUUGAAUAUUGUGGAGGUGAGCGGAAUAUGUCAUGUAGCGGUGAAAUGCUUAGAUAUGACAUAGAACACCAAUUGCGAAGGCAGCUCGCUACACAUAUAUUGACUCUGAGGCACGAAAGCGGGGGGAUCAAACAGG